RNAcentral lists this ribosomal RNA (378 nucleotides) under Triticum aestivum (bread wheat). Its description in RNAcentral is "partial small subunit ribosomal RNA". The record is from RNAcentral. Lineage: Eukaryota; Viridiplantae; Streptophyta; Magnoliopsida; Poales; Poaceae.
AUGGCGACCGCGCUGGCGGGCUGCGCCUGGCCUUCGGUGCCCUCUAAGCUCUACAUGCCUUUCACCUUGCGUUGCCUAUGGUGUGCCCCUGCCAUGUCAGAAAAAACCUUGCUGGGUCAUGUGAAUGGUGUGAAAUGGAAUAGAAAGAAAAUUCUUGUGCUUGCACAGAGUGGAAGCGAAUGUGAUCGGGGGGUCACCGUCAAGAGAGUGCUUCCUUGGCUCGUUACCAAAGGAAAAUGGCUCACAAGUAGCUGGAUUUUUUUAUGUGAAGAUGCAUCAGUGCAUUUUAGGACUCGACGAGUUGUGUGGGCUCACGGAAAAUUGGCUUCCUCGCGUCGAUGUGCUGCUUGCUUUCUUCUUUGUAUUUGUUCAAGGUGA